UCCAAUGUGGUCUAGCGGUCAGGAUUCCUGGCCUUCACCCAGGUGGCCUGGGUUCAACUCCCGGUAUGGGAA
This 72-nucleotide transfer RNA is filed under the name Perca fluviatilis (European perch). It matches the Rfam family "tRNA". From Rfam's summary of the family: Transfer RNA (tRNA) molecules are approximately 80 nucleotides in length. Their secondary structure includes four short double-helical elements and three loops (D, anti-codon, and T loops). The record is from Rfam by way of RNAcentral. Lineage: Eukaryota; Metazoa; Chordata; Actinopteri; Perciformes; Percidae.